Molecule: ribosomal RNA, 614 nt
Filed under: Staphylococcus aureus
Lineage: Bacteria; Bacillati; Bacillota; Bacilli; Caryophanales; Staphylococcaceae
Description: partial 23S ribosomal RNA
Rfam family: Bacterial large subunit ribosomal RNA
Source: RNAcentral
GGUAACACUGAAUGGAGGACCGAACCGACUUACGUUGAAAAGUGAGCGGAUGAACUGAGGGUAGCGGAGAAAUUCCAAUCGAACCUGGAGAUAGCUGGUUCUCUCCGAAAUAGCUUUAGGGCUAGCCUCAAGUGAUGAUUAUUGGAGGUAGAGCACUGUUUGGACGAGGGGCCCCUCUCGGGUUACCGAAUUCAGACAAACUCCGAAUGCCAAUUAAUUUAACUUGGGAGUCAGAACAUGGGUGAUAAGGUCCGUGUUCGAAAGGGAAACAGCCCAGACCACCAGCUAAGGUCCCAAAAUAUAUGUUAAGUGGAAAAGGAUGUGGCGUUGCCCAGACAACUAGGAUGUUGGCUUAGAAGCAGCCAUCAUUUAAAGAGUGCGUAAUAGCUCACUAGUCGAGUGACACUGCGCCGAAAAUGUACCGGGGCUAAACAUAUUACCGAAGCUGUGGAUUGUCCUUUGGACAAUGGUAGGAGAGCGUUCUAAGGGCGUUGAAGCAUGAUCGUAAGGACAUGUGGAGCGCUUAGAAGUGAGAAUGCCGGUGUGAGUAGCGAAAGACGGGUGAGAAUCCCGUCCACCGAUUGACUAAGGUUUCCAGAGGAAGGCUCGUCCGC